AUUCCAGCCUUCGUGACCACUCAAAUAUUUACCCAAAGGUUUCCUGGUGAACCUAAUGUUAUUUUAUUUAUCACAACAUAUGAAUAAAUGAAGAAGGGGAUUCUUGUUCCAAGAACUUCAAGUUCAAGCAUUCCAUUUUCACCUUCAACCUACAAAGGAAAUCUCCAAUAGCACUUUUAAACAAGAGGAAUAAUAAAAAUUGUGGUGGGUUAGAAAAUGGUUCAAUGGUGAAGAAAUGAGGUUUGUUAAACAGGAUGGAACUUGAUGAUGGAUCAUAAGAGAAACUUCAAAAGGAAAUGCAACUUUACUAGGAGACAGAAAGCAAAACAGGAAAUGAAAAAGAAACUGAAAGAGCCACUAAUACUGUGUAUGUCAACAGAGGGAAAAUCGAUCUGCAGCAUAAUUCACCAAAUGAGCAAAGCCAGGACCUAGAAAAGCUAAAAUGGAACAACGAAUCUAUCCCUUCUCAUUUUGGGGAAGAUUCUCCUGCAGCUAUG
This 497-nucleotide long non-coding RNA is filed under the name Sarcophilus harrisii (Tasmanian devil). Its description in RNAcentral is "lncRNA (ENSSHAG00000027487.1)". Lineage: Eukaryota; Metazoa; Chordata; Mammalia; Dasyuromorphia; Dasyuridae. The record is from RNAcentral.